GUCCAUAGGGAUAAUUGAUAAGUCAAGAGUUUACUAUACUUUAUCCUUCUCUAAGAUAUUCACAAGCACAUUAGCAUAUUAAUACCUUGAGAAGUAUCACACCAAAGAGAACUUUUUAAUUCGUACAAACUUUUAUCAAAAUUGAUCAAAACACCCUUCUAUUCUCUACAUAAUCUCUAAUAAUGUAACGUAAAACAUAAAAAAGCUCAUAGUCUAUCCUUCCCUUCAGUUUUUCCCUAGAUACUGCUCAGGCCACAAUAAAUCGGCCACAUUUUGUUUCCCAUCUUUACAUUUUAGAAAAUGAAAGACAAUGAGAUACACCACAGAAUGAGUUACCUUAUAAAGAUUUGGGGCUUUAAAAUUAUAUUUUAACAAAUAAAUAUACCAACAAAUGAAUAGGGAGGAAGAUCAGGCUCUUCUAUAAAGCAGAAUGUCAGCUAGUAAAUGCAAUUAAUUCAGCAGGAGCUCAAGGCCAGCCUAGACAACAUGGCAAAACCCCAUCUCUACCAAAAAUACAAAAAAAUUAGCCAGGCGUGGUGGUGCAGGCCUGUGGUCCCAGCUACUUGGUAAGCUGAGGUGGGAGGAUUACUUGAGUCCAGAUCUCUCCAUCCAGGCUUGUUGGCAGCAGUCAAAACAGGCUACCAGGUCUCACGACUCACCCUCCCAAAUCCCUAUUUAACAAUACUCCUAAAUAUGAUUCACGUUCAAGGGCACCUUCCAAAGGUUUCUGAAUGAUUCCCUGGCCACUACCAGAUACAGCCCCAAUA
RNAcentral lists this long non-coding RNA (767 nucleotides) under Homo sapiens (human). Its description in RNAcentral is "non-protein coding lnc-RALBP1-4:1". Lineage: Eukaryota; Metazoa; Chordata; Mammalia; Primates; Hominidae. The record is from RNAcentral.